This 447-nucleotide ribosomal RNA is filed under the name uncultured bacterium. RNAcentral's name for it is "partial 16S ribosomal RNA". It matches the Rfam family "Bacterial small subunit ribosomal RNA", at positions 338 to 795 of the family's 1533-position model. The record is from RNAcentral.
CCUACGGGUGGCAGCAGUCGAGAAUCAUUCACAAUGGGGGAAACCCUGAUGGUGCGACGCCGCGUGGGGGAAUGAAGGUCUUCGGAUUGUAAACCCCUGUCAUGUGGGAGCAAAUUAAAAAGAUAGUACCACAAGAGGAAGAGACGGCUAACUCUGUGCCAGCAGCCGCGGUAAUACAGCGGUCGCAAGCGUUGGUCGGAAUCACUGGGCGUAAAGCGUGCGUAGGCUGUGAGGUAAGUCAGCGGUGAAAUGCCCCCGCUCAAAGGGGUGAAGUGCCAUUGAUACUGCCUUGCUGGAAUGCUGACGCCGUGUGAGGAGUGUGUGGUGUAGCGGUGAAAGGCACAGAUAUCACACAGAACACCGAUUGCGAAGGCAUAUCACGAAGCCGCGAUUGACGCUGAUGCACGAAAGCGUGGGUAUCAAACAGGAUUAGAUACCCCUGUAGUC